Molecule: transfer RNA, 82 nt
Filed under: Perkinsus olseni
Lineage: Eukaryota; Perkinsozoa; Perkinsida; Perkinsidae
Description: tRNA-Ser
Rfam family: tRNA
About the family: Transfer RNA (tRNA) molecules are approximately 80 nucleotides in length. Their secondary structure includes four short double-helical elements and three loops (D, anti-codon, and T loops). Further hydrogen bonds mediate the characteristic L-shaped molecular structure. tRNAs have two regions of fundamental functional importance: the anti-codon, which is responsible for specific mRNA codon recognition, and the 3' end, to which the tRNAs corresponding amino acid is attached (by aminoacyl-tRNA synthetases). tRNAs cope with the degeneracy of the genetic code in two manners: having more than one tRNA (with a specific anti-codon) for a particular amino acid; and 'wobble' base-pairing, i.e. permitting non-standard base-pairing at the 3rd anti-codon position.
Source: RNAcentral
GAUACUUUGGCCUAGUGGUUAACGCUGCGGCCUGCUAAGCUGUUGGGCUAUGUCCGCGAGGGUGCGAAUUCCUCCGGUGUCG